Molecule: transfer RNA, 76 nt
Filed under: Pasteurella canis
Lineage: Bacteria; Pseudomonadati; Pseudomonadota; Gammaproteobacteria; Pasteurellales; Pasteurellaceae
Description: tRNA-Asn
Rfam family: tRNA
About the family: Transfer RNA (tRNA) molecules are approximately 80 nucleotides in length.
Source: RNAcentral
GGAUAGUUAACUCAGUUGGUAGAGUGGCUGGCUGUUAACCAGUGUGUCGCAGGUUCAAAUCCUGCACUGUCCGCCA